Long non-coding RNA from Drosophila nasuta, 2945 nucleotides. RefSeq lists it as uncharacterized. The record is from RefSeq and is a predicted model, not a curated record. NCBI's taxonomy places the organism in Eukaryota, Metazoa, Arthropoda, Insecta, Diptera, Drosophilidae. The transcript has 3 exons.
GAGUGAGAGAGAGUCGGCAGCUUUGGUGCCUCAAGGAGCACAACGAUCAAGAGACGAGUCAGUGACAAGGACGAAAAUGGAAAUGCAAGUAGAUGUAGAUUAAGUUUGGAGUUGGAGAAGUGGAAACCCCGCGGCGUCUGGCAAAGGGUUAAAUGCAAAUGAAGCCAAAGCGAUCGAAGCAUUACCUUGCUUCUUUUCUACUUACUCAACAUUUUUUGGGUGGAAAAAAAGGGCCAAGGAACAGGGAACAGGGAACAGGACAUGUUCUCGCUCUCUGUGCACCCUUUUGAUAGAUCUGUUGUCCCGUUAUGGAAUUUCAUUCCUUCCUCUCUUUCUAUCUAUCUCAGGACCAACUAACUCACAUGGGACAAUCAUAUUCAUUUGCCGCCAACUUGAUUUCAUUUCUCUUCCCCUUUUCCGAUGCAGUGAUGGGAAGUUUCUGGUUCCUCGUUCCUCGAUCCUCGUUCUUCAUUCGUCUGAUUCCUGGUCAUCAGUUCGACUAACGAAUGUCCAAACAUUGAGACCUUUCUCCCCGAUUGGUGGUCGUGUAUUUAGCUUUUGUUUAGCUUGACCAAAAGGCGAAGGACAACAGACAUCGGACAUCGGACAGCGGACAAUGGGCAGCGGACACGCCUUGAGGUUUCCGCUUAUGAUUUAUGCUUAACAUUGGUUUCUCAUCAUAUCACGUCAAAUCGCAGUGUCAAAACAAACUGCUCAAUAGCGCUGAGAUGCGAGUUAUGAGAUACGAGGGUUACAACUGGACAGAACAGAUAAUAACAAGUGAAAGCAAUGCUGCGACGCUCAGUUACCCUGUAAUUAGAUUUUCGUAAAAUAUUCUCUGGUAAUGUUCAUAUAUACAUUCGAUAUUGAAAGGGUUCUUUGUUUAAUGCACUUGUUUUUGUAAUACCAAGAAAUAAAACGUAUCGUGCUAUUAAACUACAAGUUUUCUCCUGAUUUGGAGAAUAUUUCACAGAGGAGUCAAUUCGCCUAUUUGUCAAAUUUUAAUCUGCAAUUAAGUUUUAAAGAUUUUACCAAAAGUCAAGAAAUAAAAUGUAUUUACACAAAAAAUAUUCGACAUACAUUAUAUGAUCGAAACUCAUUGCAAAUAUACUUCAAUAUCUAUUAGUCCCUCAGUUCAAUGAGGAUACAAGUCUUAUGCUUAAAGCAUUUCUCAUAAAAUUUUGAGAAUAUUUCACAGAGGUAUCAAUACGGCUAUCAGUCAAACUUCAGAAGUACAUCUUGACUAUAGUAGCUGUAAUUAAGAUUUAAAAAUUUACUCAAAAGUCAAGAAAUAAAAUGUAUUUAUACAAAAUAUUCGACAUACAUAUUUGUAAUUGAUUAUAUCAUCGAACUGCAUUGCAAAGAUACUUCAAUAUCUAUUAAUCGCUCAGUUCAAUAAGGUUACACAGACAAUCUAUUCAAGUUGAAAAUUCCCUUUUGUUAAAUCAGCAACAGGGUAGACAAAAGCAAAACUGACCAAAAAGCGCGUGCCGUGAUGCAAAUAUAUAAAAACCAACAACAAGUAAAACAGGCCAAGGCAAGGCAAGGCAAGGCAAGGAAAACAAAACGUGAGGAAAAACUGGACAGACAGACAGACAGACAGACGGUCAUUUUCAUUUAUGAGUGCAACCCUUUCGGCAAUGCAGCAGCAGUUGGUCAGCAGCAGAAGCAAAAGCAGCGGAAAAUGCGCCAUGGAUAUCAUAUGGAAAUCGUAAAUUGAAGGUAUUCGAAAAUAUCCUAAUUGUAAGGAAAUUUGAGCAGAAGAAAAGUUUAAAACUUUGCUGACACAUAACAAUGAUAACCAAAAGCAACUUGAAAUGGAUUUGUUAUUCUGGAUAUAUUACAUAUUAGUCAAAGAGUGGAUAUGGGUAAAUGUGAAAAACUCAUAGACGGAAACAAUUUGAAAAUAAGUAAAUGUUAUUAGAGUGUCGCACUUGAUAUUUAGACCAAAUAACUAAAAUAUAUAUGUUAUGUUUAGAUUGCAUUUGAUAAUAUAUUGAAAUUUUGAUUAAGUUACUAGUAAACUUGAAUGAAGGAAAAGUUUCAAUGAUAUCUCCAUAGUGGACUUUUAGUGGAUCUGCUUUACAGUCAAGAUCUAUGAUAUAUGAGGCCUAAAUGAUUGUUGACUUAGAGCGAGAAAAGGUGGCAAAAAAAAAAACAAAAGAAGAAGCUGAUUAAUGGCCAGCUUGGGGCGUCGCAUGGAAAGUGAGAAAAUGAGAAAAUGAGAAAUCACCGUGUUAGAUUGCCAUGGCAAACAAUUUGAACAAUUUGAAUAGUCGAAUCGACUGUCUUUUGGUCUGGGCCGCAAUGUAAAUGUUGAAAUUGUUGCGCCUCCUCAGCGAAUGUCCCGUGUCCUGAAUCCAGUUCUCUCCGGCAAAACAGGAUGGCAAAUGGACACAGAGAGGAACUUCGAGGAAAAAAAAACGAGCAAUAGGAAUAGGAAUAGGAAUUGGAAUAGGAAACAGGCAUUCAAGGCAGUUAGACAGCCAAACAUUGAAGCAAGCAGGCAGGCAAUUAAUGCGUCAGUUGCACCGAAGCGGAAAACUGGUUCGCAACAUUUUUGGAAAUUGAGAAAAACACGACAGAGCGAGCGAAAGAGAGAUACAGAGUGAGGGAGAGAGCGAAAACUCGAAACUUUGUGCGCUACAUUUGAGCAUUCGACACAGGCUGGCGGAAGGAAAUGAAAUGAACUCCUUGCGCAGGAUUAGAAGUCCUGCUGCCAGUUGGCAGGUAUUCUCAGUGUCCCAUCUGAGAGCAGUGGAAGAGGAAUAGAAAUAGAGAGAGGGGGAGAGGGGAGAGAAGAGCACAGAGCAAUAUACUGCUAUUGAGAUUAGCAGUGGAAAGUACAAAAUUUAUGUCAUAUGAUUCAUCAAAUUUCUUGACAAGGAUUUCAUUUCACAAUUCAAAAAAGUUUGUAAUUUCAUCAGUGUCUUAUAAAAGAAAAG